Molecule: ribosomal RNA, 495 nt
Filed under: Aspergillus flavus
Lineage: Eukaryota; Fungi; Ascomycota; Eurotiomycetes; Eurotiales; Aspergillaceae
Description: eukaryotic LSU rRNA
Rfam family: 5.8S ribosomal RNA (bases 189-342)
Source: RNAcentral
UCAUUACCGAGUGUAGGGUUCCUAGCGAGCCCAACCUCCCACCCGUGUUUACUGUACCUUAGUUGCUUCGGCGGGCCCGCCAUUCGUGGCCGCCGGGGGCUCUCAGCCCCGGGCCCGCGCCCGCCGGAGACACCACGAACUCUGUCUGAUCUAGUGAAGUCUGAGUUGAUUGUAUCGCAAUCAGUUAAAACUUUCAACAAUGGAUCUCUUGGUUCCGGCAUCGAUGAAGAACGCAGCGAAAUGCGAUAACUAGUGUGAAUUGCAGAAUUCCGUGAAUCAUCGAGUCUUUGAACGCACAUUGCGCCCCCUGGUAUUCCGGGGGGCAUGCCUGUCCGAGCGUCAUUGCUGCCCAUCAAGCACGGCUUGUGUGUUGGGUCGUCGUCCCCUCUCCGGGGGGGACGGGCCCCAAAGGCAGCGGCGGCACCGCGUCCGAUCCUCGAGCGUAUGGGGCUUUGUCACCCGCUCUGUAGGCCCGGCCGGCGCUUGCCGAACGCA